GAUGAACGCUGGCGGCGUGCCUAAUACAUGCAAGUCGAGCGAACAGACGAGGAGCUUGCUCCUCUGAUGUUAGCGGCGGACGGGUGAGUAACACGUGGAUAACCUACCUAUAAGACUGGGAUAACUUCGGGAAACCGGAGCUAAUACCGGAUAAUAUAUUGAACCGCAUGAUUCAAUAGUGAAAGACGGUUUUGCUGUCACUUAUAGAUGGAUCCGCGCCGCAUUAGCUAGUUGGUAAGGUAACGGCUUACCAAGGCAACGAUGCGUAGCCGACCUGAGAGGGUGAUCGGCCACACUGGAACUGAGACACGGUCCAGACUCCUACGGGAGGCAGCAGUAGGGAAUCUUCCGCAAUGGGCGAAAGCCUGACGGAGCAACGCCGCGUGAGUGAUGAAGGUCUUCGGAUCGUAAAACUCUGUUAUUAGGGAAGAACAAAUGUGUAAGUAACUAUGCACGUCUUGACGGUACCUAAUCAGAAAGCCACGGCUAACUACGUG
Molecule: ribosomal RNA, 497 nt
Filed under: uncultured bacterium
Lineage: Bacteria
Description: partial 16S ribosomal RNA
Rfam family: Bacterial small subunit ribosomal RNA
Source: RNAcentral